This is a long non-coding RNA of Oncorhynchus tshawytscha (Chinook salmon), 309 nucleotides long. NCBI's taxonomy places the organism in Eukaryota, Metazoa, Chordata, Actinopteri, Salmoniformes, Salmonidae. The record is from Ensembl.
GAGAGAGGGGGCAGAGAGAGAAGAGAGCAGAGAGAGAGAGAGAUACUUAGAGAGAGAGAGAGCUACAGAGAGAGAGAGAGAUACAGAGAGAUACAGAGAGAGAGAGAGAGAGAGAGAGAGAAGGAGAACUCUUCUACCUGUUGAAACCAUUGGCCCUUCUGCCUCUGGCUCCCCUCCACCACCUUUUAUUUAUGGUUGGAGGCUUGGUGUCUUCAACAGUCUGGCUCUAUGUGUUAAUAGACAGGAGGCUUGGUGUCUUUAACAGUCUGGCUCUAUGUGUUAAUAGACAGGAGGCUUGGUGUCUUUAAC